CUCCUUUUUGAGUUGCUCAAGAGUUUGUGACCAAUUUCCAUAUUUUGGAAAAGUUUGGAUGUGUUUGUGUAAUAGAGGAAAAGCAGAUUCAACAUGCUGGAAGAGCAACUCAAGUGGGGGAAGGGCAAAAGGGUGGAGAAUUCCAGAGAAGGAACAGAAGAGCUGAGAAGAUCCAAGCAGUUACUUCACUUCUCUUUGGGAACUCCUUAAGAGAGGUUGGUCUGAGAGAACCUCUGAGCUCAAUCAUCCUUCUGUGAAUCCAGAUCCCCUGAAACCAGUGGAAAAUAACAGGAGUGGAUAGGACUUUAUCAUAAAGCCAUCCACUCAAGGAAGAUUUCCUUUCUAUACCUCUAAAAAGGAGUUUUUAAAAUACUGAAUGAUGCCUAUGUCAAGUUCAUCAUCUAUGGGUACAUCCCUGGAAAGUAUAUUGCCAAGUUGCCAAGAGCCAAACAAUGACGAUAAGGUAAAGGACCCUCAUGGUGAUACUCAGUGUAACCUCAGUGGACCUGGACAGAAGAGAUGCAAUGCACGGGUGGACCAGAGGCUCCUUCAGCCACUGUCCAGCUCUUCUCAAUGCAGGCUCUCUGCCUAGACACACCCAUCGCUCAUGUGCUCUCAGCUGUUGUCUAACCAUUAAGAGAGCUUCUGUUGUCUGGAAUUCUGAGACUCAGAGGUGCUUCUUCGAUAAGUCACAAAUGAGAAUGAGUCAUGGAAGCUGGGAUUUUGUUCUGGUUCUGCUGUUUACCACCCACGUAAGCUUGGCAAAUCACUUCUGUGAACUUUAAUUCACUCAUCUGUAAAAUGGGCUAAUAAUAUUUCCCCUGCUGACUUCACACGAUUGCUGUGAGGCACAGCUGAGGAAAUAUAUGUGAACUUUCUUCGUAAUUUUAAGGUUCUCUACAAAUGUAACAUGAUGUUAUAAUUGCUGAGGGAAUGGGAUUGGUUUUUGAGAGCCCCUCCAGGGUUAAGGGGCAUUGCAGGGCAGUGGAGAAAGCACUGCUUUCAGUGCAAGAAGAUGUGGGCUCUCCUCUUAGCUCUGUCUUUUACUACCUGGAUGACCUUGGAUAAAUCACUUAGCCUCUAUGGGCCUUACUGUCCUCAUCUGUCAAAUGAAGGGACUGGAUUAGAGUCUCAGAAGUCUCUUCUGACUUGAACUCUAUGAAUCUUCCUUUAAAUCCUACCUCUUAGGAGGUAGAUGGCCAGGGAGAGUCAGAAGUUUAGGGAUGUGUGAGUUGAGUUGAGAAAUAUUUCUUCUAUCAAAAUGCCAUUUGACCUGAAGUACAUACUUAAAUAGAAGGAAGGGCAGAAGUUUUUAGAGGUGCAUCCUACAUGCCAGGCACUGUACUGAGCACUUUUUACACAUAUUAUCUUAUGUGACCCUCACAACAAUCCUGAGAGGGAGGUACUGUUAUUAUCCCUGUUUUACAAUGGAGGAAACUGAAGCAAACAGAGUUUAAGUGACUUGCCUAAUGUCCCACAGAGAGUUUCUGAGGCCCUUUUUGAACUCAGGUUUGUGGGCUCAGAGCUCUGUCUACUGAGCCACCCCAAUGCCUCAAGAAGGAUUUUAAGAAGAAAAAAAAAUGUAAUAUUUAAGACAUGAGGGAGGGGCAACAAGUCAGGAAAACCUGGGUUCAAAUCCUGUGUCUGACACAUGCUGGAUGUGUGAGUGACCCUGUGCAAGUCACUGACCCUCUCAUUACUAUCAUGUAACUCCUACAGAAGUGGCAGGAUAAUUCAUAGAGGUAGAAGAGUAGAGGCUAUUUCUGCAGUAGCACUUCUCUCUAC
RNAcentral lists this long non-coding RNA (1785 nucleotides) under Monodelphis domestica (gray short-tailed opossum). RNAcentral describes it as "lncRNA (ENSMODG00000051517.1)". Lineage: Eukaryota; Metazoa; Chordata; Mammalia; Didelphimorphia; Didelphidae. The record is from RNAcentral.